AGGUCAGAAUCUAAGGACUUCUGACUUGUCACAGAUUGAAAUAGCAUGGGUGGACAGGGCUGUCUUCUGAAGUGUUUCUCUGAAAGAUUCUUCUUUGGGUUACCUGGCUGCCACAGUCCAUUAAGCAUCCAACUCUUGAUAUUGGCUCAGGUUAUAAUCUCACUGGUUCGCGGGAACUACCCUGAGCUUUGUCAGCCCAGAUACUGCUUGGGAUUCUCUGUCUCCCAAAAUAAACUAAGAAAAAAAAAAGAAUCUUUUCUGAACACUGGAAAUAUAACUAGUAUCUGAAUUUAUGCUUAUUUUUAUCAACUAGGUAAAAGGUUUAUCAAUAGAUAUUGACCCUGCUUUCAACUGUUAGAACUAGUGACCACUAUGAAACUAAAAUCAUCAUUUUUUUUAGAUGGUCUCAAAACUAUAUUGGCUUACAUCCUACAAUUCUGAACAGGAUUGGAUUAUCUAUUGGUUCAUGUUGAAAAGACCCAGAACUAUUUACUAAAAAGUAAUCUUGGCUCAGUUUUCAUGCCUCUCACUUGACAAAUCAUAAGGAAAAGUAUGUAGUACUAUCAUUCACUUAGUUGCAUUUAUAAUUUUGACUAUUGACAAAGAAUCAGCAUUACAGAAUACAUAAGCACUGUAGCUUUUUAAUUGAACCAUAGCUCUCAAAGAUCAGCCUAACUUGUCCUCAACAAUAGGCAGAAUGAUUAGCAUGCCUGUCAUCUGUAAAUAUUUUUUGUGCAAUGAGUAUUUGCUCUGAUAUAUAAAAGUAACAUAUUGAAAAUGGCACAUACAUAGCAAACAAAACUGAUAGCAUUUGGGUUUGCAAGUAUGGAAGCAUAAUGCCCCUAUUUCUUGAGUUCUUUAUAUGUUAGUAAUUGUCUUGAAUUGUGUGCAUGGACUGUUUCAGGAGCUAGUUAAUGACUAUUUCCAAAGUCAUGUAUUUCAUGUAAAAAUCCAAGAAUAAAAUAAAUUACGGAGAGUAAUCAAAUGUGGUUAGGACUCCCCAGUACUUUUGUAAAAAUAACCUCCUUCUAAUUUCCUCCGAGUUGAGAAAGUACUUGAAUGGAUCUUCUUGUCCCUUUGGAAGAAGGAAUUUCAACACCCUCAACAUAGCAAAAAGCUUGGAAAGUUAUCAACCUUGAUUGAAGAUGAAAUGGUUUCUUCACAGAUGUGUUUGACUAUUGCUAAGCAUCUCAACAAAUCUUCAGCCUACAGACUUCCAGUCUAGAAAUGAUGUGGGGAUCAAGAAACUCGACUUUAACACUAUCAAGAAGGGAGGGUGUGGAAGAAGAGAGAUAGAGAAUAGCACACAGACUCAUUUUUUUUAUUCCCUACCAACUUGUGACUGUUGACACAGAGGCUGCCUUUGCUGAAAUUUACCAUAUUGAGAUAACUGAUUGAUCGUAUCACCAAAGAAUACAUGGUGUGUUUAAUACACAGGGAAGAAGUGGAGGUAAAGAAAUGGUCAGUGCCUGCACAGAGCUGUCAAGAACAUGUACUGCAAACCUCAUUUUGCCUUUUUUUCCCCAUUCAGUAGGAACUCUGUGAAUAAGAGAAGCAUAGAAAUGA
Molecule: long non-coding RNA, 1566 nt
Organism: Acinonyx jubatus (cheetah)
Lineage: Eukaryota; Metazoa; Chordata; Mammalia; Carnivora; Felidae
Exons: 2
Source: RefSeq, a predicted model, not a curated record